AGGACGAACGCUGGCGGCGUGCUUAACACAUGCAAGUCGAGCGGAAAGGCCCUUCGGGGUACUCGAGCGGCGAACGGGUGAGUAACACGUGAGUAAUCUGCCCCUAGCUCUGGGAUAGCUCCGGGAAACCGGGAUUAAUACCGGAUACGACCACCUUAGACAUCUUUUGUGGUGGAAAGAAUUUCGGCUAGGGAUGAGCUCGCGGCCUAUCAGCUUGUUGGUGGGGUAACGGCCUACCAAGGCGACGACGGGUAGCCGGCCUGAGAGGGCGACCGGCCACACUGGGACUGAGACACGGCCCAGACUCCUACGGGAGGCAGCAGUGGGGAAUAUUGCGCAAUGGGCGAAAGCCUGACGCAGCGACGCCGCGUGGGGGAUGGAAGGCCUUCGGGUUGUAAACCCCUUUCAGCAGGGACGAAGCGAAAGUGACGGUACCUGCAGAAGAAGCGCCGGCUAACUACGUGCCAGCAGCCGC
This 475-nucleotide ribosomal RNA is filed under the name uncultured bacterium. Its description in RNAcentral is "SSU rRNA". It matches the Rfam family "Bacterial small subunit ribosomal RNA", at positions 26 to 518 of the family's 1533-position model. The record is from RNAcentral.